This 497-nucleotide ribosomal RNA is filed under the name uncultured bacterium. Its description in RNAcentral is "partial 16S ribosomal RNA". It matches the Rfam family "Bacterial small subunit ribosomal RNA", at positions 28 to 507 of the family's 1533-position model. The record is from RNAcentral.
GAUGAACGCUGGCGGCGUGCCUAAUACAUGCAAGUCGAGCGAACGGACGAGAAGCUUGCUUUUCUGAUGUUAGCGGCGGACGGGUGAGUAACACGUGGAUAACCUACCUAUAAGACUGGGAUAACUUCGGGAAACCGGAGCUAAUACCGGAUAAUAUUUUGAACCGCAUGGUUCAUAAGUGAAAGACGGUCUUGCUGUCACUUAUAGAUGGAUCCGCGCUGCAUUAGCUAGUUGGUAAGGUAACGGCUUACCAAGGCAACGAUGCAUAGCCGACCUGAGAGGGUGAUCGGCCACACUGGAACUGAGACACGGUCCAGACUCCUACGGGAGGCAGCAGUAGGGAAUCUUCCGCAAUGGGCGAAAGCCUGACGGAGCACAGCCGCGUGAGUGAUGAAGGUCUUCGGAUCGUAAAACUCUGUUAUUAGGGAAGAACAUAUGUGUAAGUAACUGUGCACAUCUUGACGGUACCUAAUCAGAAAGCCACGGCUAACUACGUG